Molecule: long non-coding RNA, 2254 nt
Filed under: Diabrotica virgifera virgifera (western corn rootworm)
Lineage: Eukaryota; Metazoa; Arthropoda; Insecta; Coleoptera; Chrysomelidae
Description: uncharacterized LOC126887681
Source: RNAcentral
UAUUGGUUGGCUCCUUCUGGCCAUUCUUAUCAAUCUGUUGUAGCUAUAGCUAUAUUUAGAGGAUCCCAGAAUGAGCUAACUUCUUUUAUGUCAACUAUUCGAUUAGGUACCUUUAGGAAGAUCUUCCAUAGCAUCUGAUACAAUUCGGAUGAUCAGUUGAAUUAAGUUCAUGGUACCCAAUAUGUAAUCACUAUUAGCACAUUUAGUGCUAGGUUGUAGCGUUGCUCACUUAAAUCUGCCUGGUUGUUCCACCUUGGAUAUGCUUCAAUAUAAAUCUGUUGUCCACUGUCGGAUCAAUUUAGGAUAAAAGGCUUGCUACAAUAAUUUCUUUUCUUGUCAAUAACUCUUAUAUUUAUUUUGAUAUAUACUAUGGCCUAUGUUUGGCUUAUCAAGAAUUGGCCACGAGAUCUACUGAUUGUUCACUUUGGAUAUGCUCUAUGUAAAUCUGUUGUCCAUCGAUAGAACGAUUGUGUAGUACUCGUCCCAUUCGACAUUUUUUUUGAGAUUAGGAGUUAUCUGAAUUAUGUAAUUUAGCAAAGGGUUAUAGAAACCUUAAGUAUGUAUGUUGGUACGAUAUGUGAUAUAUUGAGUAUUAAGAUAAUCCCAUUUACAGGACUCAUAAUUUGCGGUUAGGUAUAAUCGAUCGAGUCAGAUGUAAGUGUGUUUGAGUUAGUCUUUGUAUAGGUUAUAUAUAGGUUUGCCUUCAUGAAUAUUGUUAUGGUGUUCUUGUUGACCAUAAUUUGGGGUUUAUUUUAAAUCUACUGAAUCAACUCGAACACAAUUUGGACUUUAGGGCAUAGGUCACAGAGGACUGGUCCUAAGAGUUUGGACGGUGUCCAACGAUAGAUUAGUUUAGAGUAGUGUAGUAUUCUUAGGUUAUUUUAGUCAUUCGGUUUAUUCACGCCUGGGUUGGAUCCCACAGCGUGUGAUUUUCUCUAUGGAUACUUGUAUUGGGUAUUUAUAGGUGUAUAUGGAAAAAAAUUGCUCAUAAGAUCAAUUUUUUUUUCCAAGUAAUGGGAGAAUGUAACGAUCAGUAUCCCGAUCGUUACUAUAAGAUUCAUUUCUGUAACUAUUAAGUAUGCAACCCGGUAUACGUUCACUCGCAUAGAGUGUAAUCUAAACUUGAGCCCAUUAUAAUUAUUUUGGUUGGUAGUAUGGUUAGUGAAUUUUACAUUUAUUCGUUGGCUCAUGGGUAAAUGACAAUUUCCGCCUGUUGACAGGACGGAAAGAAAGUGAAAGUUGAUGGUUACUUGAUCUUCGGUAGCCGUCUGCAAAUGAUGUGAUUUUCCAGCGACCGGUGUCUAGCCAUUUUAUUUUAUUUAGAAAAUAAUUAUUUAGUUGAAAAGGAAUGCAUUUAAGUUGGAAAGAAGUUUAUUUUAUGGUAUAAAUUAUGGUGAGAGUGCUGUUUUAGUUCCAAUAUCGGAGGAUUCUGGACAUUGGUCGCUGGAGAAUAGAAGAUUUAGUCAACAGAAAUAAGAAUAAUUUUUGGGAAAGAGUGGGAAAUUUUGGGACAUAUUUGGAAGUUUUGAUUUUAUUGGAAUCUUGGUUUUUAUGGAAUUUAUUUUUUGGAAUUCGCCGAUACUGAGAGGUAUCUCCAGUUGGUAACAAGGAUACAUCUCCCUCCUAGGUUGAGGAACACCGCAAGCUACCUUCCUUGGGCCUCUGAUCAUUCCCUGGAAAGAGUUGGAGAACCCAUGGUCACUUGGUAGACCGGACAGGUUUUUAUAAGUCAAUUUGAUUGUAAUUUGUUUUAAUAAUAUUUGCACUUUUACCUAUUUUUUUUUGUAUCAAUAACUUAAUAAUCCUAAUAAUAGUAUACCUUCAUUUUCUUAAACAUAAUUAAACUAAACAAUAAUUUUUCAAAAAUUUUAUAUUUCAAGGUUAGCUCAUUUAUUUUAAAAUAGUGGGGGGGAUUAUAAACUAUCUGUAAAGAUAGUGUGCACAUUAUCUCAGUUUGAAUCCUUAUCGAAACUUUGAUUUCAUUGUCAGGUAUUAUACUUACGUUUAUCACCUCCGAACAGAUACGAUAUUGUCAGCCAAUAUUGGCUUCUUCAUUAACAACAAAUUUGUACAUACAUUUUUACAUUAAUUAACUUUCAUAUAUAAACCAUUCUUUUCAUAUUUUUCACAUAUUGUAAAAACCUGUGUUAUCAACAGGAGUGUCAUAGCUUAGUACGUCCGGUUUAGCUAGUGUAUAAAAAUUGUAUAUAGGGGUUAUAGGUUUGUUUCAUUAAAUUUGUUAGUUGUACCUAAA